ACUAUAACGGAUCACCUGGCACCCCGACUGGGUACCUCCGUUGAAGGAUGCUCCUAGCGCUUCCUGAGGACUCCAAGCACUCUGGCAGACACCACAAUCACCGAACCGGAGAAACAAAUAAAUUCUCCCAAGCAUGUGAAUGCUGUAGACAGUUGAAUAGGAACCAUACGAAUAGGUUUACUCUCCUAGCAGUCAAACUGGAACAGCAUACAAUAAAUCCUUCCCCCAAUAAUGAGACGACACUUCACUUUGAGGGUUAAAACAGGAACUCCUGUACUGUCACAUACAGUCUCUUUUAUUCCCAAUCCACAAACAUAGUACAGCCCACAGGGCGUUACAAAACAACCAAUCAAUCCGUACAAUACACCCAGACACUCCCACACAAACUCCUCCCCUCUGCCUGUGAUAUGAUUACUGAACACAAUGGGUAAUCUCAUUAUCACCGGCAGAGGAAUACAGUUUUUAC
Molecule: non-coding RNA, 466 nt
Organism: Pelobates cultripes (western spadefoot toad)
Lineage: Eukaryota; Metazoa; Chordata; Amphibia; Anura; Pelobatidae
Source: the annotation of a GenBank genome assembly